Rhagoletis zephyria (snowberry fruit fly) is the source of this 142-nucleotide long non-coding RNA. RefSeq lists it as uncharacterized. Lineage: Eukaryota; Metazoa; Arthropoda; Insecta; Diptera; Tephritidae. The record is from RefSeq and is a predicted model, not a curated record.
UAAGUGAAGUAAUAUAUACUUAGGUAUGUAUGGAUGUAAUUAAGUGAACUUGCUUUUACUGGCAGCAAAGUAAAAUACGAAAUAAUGUAAACGAUUUCUAAAACCGAGUAAGCUUUACGAGCGCGUCUCAAGAGCAAAAAAA